Molecule: long non-coding RNA, 270 nt
Filed under: Bos indicus x Bos taurus (hybrid cattle)
Lineage: Eukaryota; Metazoa; Chordata; Mammalia; Artiodactyla; Bovidae
Description: lncRNA (ENSBIXG00005003060.1)
Source: RNAcentral
CUGGCUGAAGACCAUCUGUGGAGGCCCCAUUACUGUCUGAAUGAGGGAACUGUAAGCAGAGCAAGAGCUCACUGACAACGCACUAGGACUUGUAGCAGUCACGGUGACUCUGUUCAUGGACUGAUUUCCAAAUUAAUUUAAAACAAGCUGCAUAAAAAUUAUGACAUAAUUUUCUGGACUGCAGAAUCAAUGAGUUGCUCUCCUGAGAUGCCUCCAGGAGCAACGGGCAGCAAGCCAGGCUGCAGACAGUGACUAAACCCCAACAACACG